This 900-nucleotide ribosomal RNA is filed under the name Escherichia coli. Its description in RNAcentral is "partial 23S ribosomal RNA". It matches the Rfam family "Bacterial large subunit ribosomal RNA", at positions 254 to 1194 of the family's 2925-position model. Lineage: Bacteria; Pseudomonadati; Pseudomonadota; Gammaproteobacteria; Enterobacterales; Enterobacteriaceae. The record is from RNAcentral.
CGAACGGGGAGCAGCCCAGAGCCUGAAUCAGUAUGUGUGUUAGUGGAAGCGUCUGGAAAGGCGCGCGAUACAGGGUGACAGCCCCGUACACAAAAAUGCACAUGCUGUGAGCUCGAUGAGUAGGGCGGGACACGUGGUAUCCUGUCUGAAUAUGGGGGGACCAUCCUCCAAGGCUAAAUACUCCUGACUGACCGAUAGUGAACCAGUACCGUGAGGGAAAGGCGAAAAGAACCCCGGCGAGGGGAGUGAAAAAGAACCUGAAACCGUGUACGUACAAGCAGUGGGAGCACGCUUAGGCGUGUGACUGCGUACCUUUUGUAUAAUGGGUCAGCGACUUAUAUUCUGUAGCAAGGUUAACCGAAUAGGGGAGCCGAAGGGAAACCGAGUCUUAACUGGGCGUUAAGUUGCAGGGUAUAGACCCGAAACCCGGUGAUCUAGCCAUGGGCAGGUUGAAGGUUGGGUAACACUAACUGGAGGACCGAACCGACUAAUGUUGAAAAAUUAGCGGAUGACUUGUGGCUGGGGGUGAAAGGCCAAUCAAACCGGGAGAUAGCUGGUUCUCCCCGAAAGCUAUUUAGGUAGCGCCUCGUGAAUUCAUCUCCGGGGGUAGAGCACUGUUUCGGCAAGGGGGUCAUCCCGACUUACCAACCCGAUGCAAACUGCGAAUACCGGAGAAUGUUAUCACGGGAGACACACGGCGGGUGCUAACGUCCGUCGUGAAGAGGGAAACAACCCAGACCGCCAGCUAAGGUCCCAAAGUCAUGGUUAAGUGGGAAACGAUGUGGGAAGGCCCAGACAGCCAGGAUGUUGGCUUAGAAGCAGCCAUCAUUUAAAGAAAGCGUAAUAGCUCACUGGUCGAGUCGGCCUGCGCGGAAGAUGUAACGGGGCUAAACCAUGCAC